Non-coding RNA from Punica granatum (pomegranate), 1938 nucleotides. The record is from RefSeq and is a predicted model, not a curated record. Lineage: Eukaryota; Viridiplantae; Streptophyta; Magnoliopsida; Myrtales; Lythraceae.
CUAUAUAGAUAAAGAAUAAACCUAUAAACUUAUCUUCACAUUUAUGUACAACUUUUUCUCAUCAAACUUCCACUAAAUAUUUAGACAGAAAAAAAGAGUUCAAAGGCAUACCCACACAGUUCAGUGCUCUUGUCAUCUGGAACCCCUUUUCCAUGGCAGAAGCAUCCACAUUUCUCGAUACGAGGAGGCAUGCUGUGGUAACGGGAGCAAACAAAGGAAUCGGGUUAGAGAUUUGCAGGCAGUUGGCCUCAAAGGGGGUGACGGUGGUCUUAACUUCAAGAGACGAGAAGAGGGGUCUCAAGGCUGUUUGCAAACUGAAAGAAGAAGACUCUGCCGCUCCCUCCGGUGAAGUAGUUUUUCAUCAGCUUGAUGUUACUGACUCCGCAAGCAUAGAUUCACUGGUUGAGUUUGUCAGUACCCGGUUCGGAAAGCUGGACAUUCUGGAAAUUGUAACUUCUCUGUAUCACCACCAGCCGACCCCAAUUAACAAGCAUAAACAAGUGAUUAAACUCCGGGGUUGUUCCAUUCUUUCCUCUGAAUGUGGCGUGAUCCCUUAUCUGAGCUCCUUUUUUGAUGCCUCGCUCAUGUGACUAAUAGAAGAUGGAAAACUAUUGCAGGUGAACAAUGCUGGGAUGAGUGGAAUCAAUUUAGAUUUUCAAGCCUUUACAAGUGCUGUUGAGCGUGUUGGUGGUUGGCCAACUGAUGAAGAGUAGUGGAAAACGAUGUCCACCCAAAAUUACAAAUUGGCCAUAGAAUGCCUGGAAACAAAUUACUAUGGAGCAAAAAGAGUGACCGAAGCUCUCAUUCCCCUGCUUCAACAGUCGGAUUCUGCAAGGAUCGUCAAUAUCUCUUCAUUUUUAGGACUCUUGCAGGUAUAUCCAGUCGUGGCAGUUAUGUUUUGAUGUAAAGCAUUUUUUCAACUUUGGUUUUCCAAUUUUUCGCACACAAUACUUGAUUUCUCUUUUGGGAUUUGGACCUUGAACUGCUUCUCGUCGUAGUUGGGAAUAGAAAAUUCAAUGAACUGUUCCUAGAAAAUCUAAUUUUCCUACACCUUUCCUAAACAGGAAUAUUUGAAACGGCUACCUAAAGUCUGCCAUCUUUCAGGAAGCUCCUUUUAGUUAUGAGCUUUUGCGUUCUCAAGAAAAUGAAUAGCAGGACGGAAGAUGGAUUAGACUACGUUUAAUUAGAUAACAUUUUUAUAGAAGCCUUUUAUUUUUAUGGGAAAAAAGAGAAUUAAGAAGUUCCAAACAGGUUUUACGACAUGGAAAUGGGAACUGGGAAUAAUCUUCCUCAACCCGAGCUGUGGAUUACCGUUUCCUCCCUGACCUUUUGCUAAAACUUAUCUCAUUAUCUUUGUCAAUUCAAAGCAAAUUCCUGGGAAAUCAAUCACAGAUGACCUGGGAGACAUCAAGAGCCUGACAAAAGAUCGAAUAGAUGAUAUCCUGAAGGAUUUCCUGGAAGAUUUCCGACAGGGAAAAUUAAAAGCCAAAGGCUGGCCCGAGAAUAUCUCUGCAUACAAGAUGUCAAAAGCAGCCCUGAACGCUUACACAAGGCUCCUAGCAAAGGAGUUCCCGUCGUCCCUUGUGAACAGCGUUUGCCCGGGCUUUGUCAGGACUGAUAUGACCAGCAACAAUGGAGUUCUUGCUGCUCAUGAAGGAGCGGAGAGCCCCGUGCACCUGGCUCUUCUGCUGAAAACUGGGCCCUCCGGCCUCUUCUUCUCCAGGAAAGAAGUCUCUAAUUUCUGAGAAACAAAGCUUGAUAAUGAUAGAUAUUAGGUGCUGGAAGGAUACAAUAGUUAUAAUAACCCAUCCAUUGAUAUCGAUAGUUAUAAAUAUCAGCAAGCCCUUCUCAAUUUCAUAAACUUCAGGCCCUGUCAGACUUCCCAUUAUCAUCGGAUUACAUGAUUUUAAUGGUAUCCAAGAGUUCUGGUUUCCCAAA